UGGGGAAUUUUGGACAAUGGGCGCAAGCCUGAUCCAGCCAUGCCGCGUGAGUGAAGAAGGCCUUCGGGUUGUAAAGCUCUUUCGGUGGGGAAGAAAUGGUUCGUGCUAAUACCACGAACUGAUGACGGUACCCGAAGAAGAAGCACCGGCUAACUACGUGCCAGCAGCCGCGGUAAUACGUAGGGUGCAGGCGUUAAUCGGAAUUACUGGGCGUAAAGCGUACGCAGGCGGUUUGCUAAGACAGGUGUGAAAUCCCCGGGCUUAACCUGGGAACUGCGCUUGUUACUGGCAAGCUAGAGUGUGGCAGAGGGGGGUAGAAUUCCAGGUGUAGCAGUGAAAUGCGUAGAUAUCUGGAGGAAUACCGAUGGCGAAGGCAGCCCCCUGGGUUAACACUGACGCUCAUGUACGAAAGCGUGGGGAGCAAACAGG
RNAcentral lists this ribosomal RNA (429 nucleotides) under uncultured beta proteobacterium. RNAcentral's name for it is "bacterial SSU rRNA". It matches the Rfam family "Bacterial small subunit ribosomal RNA", at positions 355 to 776 of the family's 1533-position model. Lineage: Bacteria; Pseudomonadati; Pseudomonadota; Betaproteobacteria. The record is from RNAcentral.